GGUUCUAUGGUGUAAUGGUUAGCACUCUGGACUUUGAAUCCAGCGAUCUGAGAUCAAAUCUCGGUAGGACCA
RNAcentral lists this transfer RNA (72 nucleotides) under Danionella translucida. It matches the Rfam family "tRNA". Rfam says of the family: Transfer RNA (tRNA) molecules are approximately 80 nucleotides in length. Their secondary structure includes four short double-helical elements and three loops (D, anti-codon, and T loops). Lineage: Eukaryota; Metazoa; Chordata; Actinopteri; Cypriniformes; Danionidae. The record is from Rfam by way of RNAcentral. RNAcentral also lists the same sequence under 1 other name.